This 459-nucleotide ribosomal RNA is filed under the name uncultured bacterium. RNAcentral's name for it is "partial 16S ribosomal RNA". It matches the Rfam family "Bacterial small subunit ribosomal RNA", at positions 338 to 795 of the family's 1533-position model. The record is from RNAcentral.
CCUACGGGGUGCAGCAGUGAGGAAUAUUGGUCAAUGGGCGGGAGCCUGAACCAGCCAAGUCGCGUGAAGGAAGAAGGUACUUAGUAUUGUAAACUUCUUUUGUCGGGGAACAAAGGCGGAGACGCGUCUCCGGAUGAGUGUACCCGAAGAAAAAGCAUCGGCUAACUCCGUGCCAGCAGCCGCGGUAAUACGGAGGAUGCGAGCGUUAUCCGGAUUUAUUGGGUUUAAAGGGUGCGCAGGCGGGAGAUCAAGUCAGCGGUAAAAUGUCGGGGCUCAACCCCGGCCGGCCGUUGAAACGGUUGAACUAGAUUGCAGGAGAGGUAAGUGGAAUUCCUAGGGUAGCGGUGAAAUGCGUAGAUAUUAGGAGGAACACCAGUGGCGAAGGCGGCUUACUGGACUGUAAAUGACGCUGAGGCUCGAAAGCGUGGGGAGCAAACAGGAUUAGAUACCCGGGUAGUC